GAUUUACUUAUCCAGCUUUUCUUCAGUGGAGAUUAAGCAGAAAAUUAUGCAGCAAAAUCCACAACAGGUAUUUCAGAUAUGCAAUCCGUCCACCAAGAAAGAAGUGUUAGUUAAACAACUUAUCUGUUGAAACAGUGAAGGAAACAGAUUAAUAACUUAUCUGGAAAUGUUUGUCCUUCUGCAGUAUGCUGCGGUUCAGCAAUGAUCCUAGCUGGCAGUGUUUUAUGCUACUUGUGAUAUUGAAGCAUUUGAAAAUAUUAAGAUUGAUUGAAAAUGCUUCAUUAGUAUCCAUGUCAUCAAGUAUUAAACUUACCGUUAAUGUUUGAUUGUAUGAUUUCCUGGUAAAAAGCGAACAUUUGUGUGCAGGCAAUAGUUGAUUUUAUGAAGGGGUGAGUGUAACUUAAGCUUAACUUACUUUUUCAAAGUACUAAUUGGUGUCAGGUAGUUUGGAAAACUUAUUGAUCCUUUGGUUGGAAAAUUGCAAAAUUAGUACUUAAAAUGACACUCAGCUUUGAUUUAGGCAUUGCCAUCUACUUAUUAACUGUCCAUAUGUGAACUAGUUUUACCAUGAGAGAGACGAGCUUGGUGAUGCAAACCUUGCUUUAAGCUUCAAUUCCUAUUGGUCAUGACUAGACACUCCUGAGAGUUUCUGCACUCAGUUUGUGAGAUCCCGUCUGGAUUGGAGUAGAUUUAAAGAAGUUUUGAGGACUCUUCCUUUCCACGUAUAUCAAUUAAGAUAUCCAGGGCGCUCAGAAGGUGUGUUUCUUGACAUGGUUGGCAGCUGGGAGCGAUUUUGACUGCUGAAACUUGAUGAAGAGGAGUAUAGCAUAUACCAGUUGGUGUUUUAUGUGUACGAGCUCGGGUGUGGACCCACCUCCUUUUACAAUGUCAUUAUCUCGCUUGUUCUUUUGAUUGAACACCUUUAGAUGGUUCGGACUCCAAUGGGUGGUGCACACACCUUGAGGGAAGCCUGUUCAACUGAACAUUUAGAAGAAUGGAGUAACCAGAAGGUGUGGGAAUUGGGAUACCACCCCACUAGCACCCAUUUAUUGUAUGGAAAAAGAGAAACAGGAUAGCUUUUGAAGGAACAGAAAAUGAUUUUGUGCUGAGGAACAACAAUCUCUAGUGAGAUUCUUUCUUUUUUUGGUGUACCCAUGAGAUUCCAAUAUGUAUGGAGUUGGGUGUCUAUUAUCGCUACAUAGGUUGUGUACAUCUGAUAACACUUGUAUACCAGAGUUCUCAUCCCAUUAUAAAUGAAAUUAGUUUACCUUAUUAAAAAUAAAAACAUUGCUGGAACAGUGAUACCAAUCCUUAAUCAGGAAGAGAGAUGGAAAAUUGUCCCAGCUUGCAUUUGGUGGACUCUGUGGGAAGAAAGAAUUCAAGUUGUUUUGAAGACAAAGCCAUUAGUAUACAGAAACUAAAGAUGAAAUGUUUAGGGCUUUUCUUUUGUUGGUGUAAACAUAGUUUAAUGGAGGAGUUAGAAUCAGUUUAUGAUCUACUCCAUUCUUUAUGAGAAGAUUAAGGAGUAGGAGCUUAUUUUUUUGCUCAUCUGGAUGUAAAUAUGGGGGACUAUAUACCUUUCGUGUAGUUGUUAUUAAUAAAUACACAAAAUCGUUGCAUGUUCAAAAAAAAUAACAACAACACUGCUAAAGGAAUUCUGUCCUUAUUUACUAGUAACCUUCUCUUUGUUGAUGCAAAUGAGUCCCUAUGUGGCACUAGCAGGCUAGAUCGUGGAGCAAUCUGUUUGGAUUCGAUUUCUUGUCUCUCUUCUUAUGCGCUAAUAGUGAUACCAAUAUUGUUUUACUGGUCAUACUAAUGUCGAAUUCUUCGGGUUCUUGCUUGGUUUGGUGGAUUCUUCCUUCGAGCGAUCUCAAGGAUAUGAUUGGGUAUUUUAGCUUUGACUCAAGGGUGCAAGUGGUCCUAACAGAAUAAUUGUUUUGCUAAUUGUCUCUGUUUUGGGAAAGAUGCAGAGCAUGCUCCUCCGUCUUCUGUAUUAUAAUAGGGUGGAGGGAGAGAUAAUAAAAGAAAAAUUAGAUUAGGAGAGGGCGGCGUCCAGUUAUGCGCUGCUGAGUCUGUUGUUUCUUGGUCUUUUGGUGCUUGCACUGUGAUGUGGAUCUUCAGCUUUGAGGAAAAGGGAUGUUCUUUGGCAUCUUCAGUGAUUUCCGGGGUAUGGUGUGGAAUAUUCCAACUUCGCACUUGACUGAGAAAUUGGUUGGUAGUUAUUUCAGAUAGGAGGAUACGUUUAACCUUAAACUAAAUUAUUGUUUAGCAAACACUUUAUCUUCAUCGUCAAACUCUUGCCUCACAGGGAAUAGUUAUAAACUCAUAAUAAUUUAAAUUCUUACUGCUUUCUCCAAGUCAGUCUUUUGUAUUCAUUAGGAUACAGAAAAUCUCUUGAAGGGUUGGAAAAUAUUUUUGUUUCAUUUCAA
Solanum pennellii is the source of this 2429-nucleotide RNA transcript. RefSeq lists it as uncharacterized. The transcript has 2 exons. Lineage: Eukaryota; Viridiplantae; Streptophyta; Magnoliopsida; Solanales; Solanaceae. The record is from RefSeq and is a predicted model, not a curated record.